Molecule: long non-coding RNA, 586 nt
Organism: Bubalus bubalis (water buffalo)
Lineage: Eukaryota; Metazoa; Chordata; Mammalia; Artiodactyla; Bovidae
Exons: 3
Source: RefSeq, a predicted model, not a curated record
CUAAACGCGUACACACACACAGGCUCUGUAAAGGGGAGUAGAGAUGCAGCAAGAAAUCCCCAUCGCUAUUAACUACAAGAAGAGAGCAAUUCUUCCUGCUCUGGGGAGAGGCGUGGGGUGUCCUCCAGGGGAAGCCCAUCCUCCCUGCUUCGCUGGACCCCAGAGAACCUGCUUGAGACCAUCCUUCCUUCUGUGCCCCAAAGGAAGCCAGAGCGACCCUGCGGGAAAGGGGCAGCGGAUAGAUCGAGAGGCGCGUGGGCAGGCUCCCGGACAUGCACAGACAUGCAAAUACCAAGAUUCAAGCGGAAGCUGAAUAUGAGAAGAUUAAACAUGUGGAUUUCCCCGUGUGAUGAAACAGACACAAGCAUUAGUGCACUGAUGACGGACUUCUGUGUGGCACAAAGCAAGGAUGAAGUGAGAAGGCCACGGUCAUGGACCAUAGUGACUUGGACCAGGAUGGUGGCACUGGAGGUCAUGAGAAUCUGCCCGAGUCUGGAUAGCUUUAAAUGAUUAAAAAAAAAAAAAAAGACAAGCAGAAUUUUCUGAUGAAAUUAAAGAUUUUUGGAUUCUCUUCUAGCUAACAACA